RNAcentral lists this ribosomal RNA (255 nucleotides) under uncultured bacterium. RNAcentral describes it as "partial 16S ribosomal RNA". It matches the Rfam family "Bacterial small subunit ribosomal RNA", at positions 524 to 776 of the family's 1533-position model. The record is from RNAcentral.
UACGUAGGGUGCAAGCGUUGUCCGGAAUUAUUGGGCGUAAAGAGCUCGUAGGCGGUUUGUCGCGUCUGCUGUGAAAACCUAAGGCUCAACCUUGGGCUUGCAGUGGGUACGGGCAGACUAGAGUGCGGUAGGGGUGACUGGAAUUCCUGGUGUAGCGGUGAAAUGCGCAGAUAUCAGGAGGAACACCGGUGGCGAAGGCGGUUCUCUGGGCAGUGUCCUGACGGCUGAGGAGCGAAAGUGUGGGGAGCGAACAGG